GGCCCUUUAGCUCAGUGGUUAGAGCAGGCGGCUCAUAACUGCCUGGUCGCUGGUUCAAGUCCAGCAAGGGCCACCA
This 76-nucleotide transfer RNA is filed under the name Salmonella enterica. RNAcentral's name for it is "tRNA-Met". It matches the Rfam family "tRNA". From Rfam's summary of the family: Transfer RNA (tRNA) molecules are approximately 80 nucleotides in length. The record is from RNAcentral. Lineage: Bacteria; Pseudomonadati; Pseudomonadota; Gammaproteobacteria; Enterobacterales; Enterobacteriaceae.